UAAACGAUGUCGACUUGGAGGUUGUGCCCGUGAGGCGUGGCUUCGGGAGCUAACGCGUUAAGUCGACCGCCUGGGGAGUACGGCCGCAAGGUUAAAACUCAAAUGAAUUGACGGGGGCCCGCACAGCGGUGGAGCAUGUGGUUUAAUUCGAUGCAACGCGAAGAACCUUACCUACUCUUGACAUCCAGAGAACUUUCCAGAGAUGGAUUGGUGCCUUCGGGAACUCUGAGACAGGUGCUGCAUGGCUGUCGUCAGCUCGUGUUGUGAAAUGUUGGGUUAAGUCCCGCAACGAGCGCAACCCUUAUCCUUUGUUGCCAGCGGUUAGGCCGGGAACUCAAAGGAGACUGCCAGUGAUAAACUGGAGGAAGGUGGGGAUGACGUCAAGUCAUCAUGGCCCUUACGAGUAGGGCUACACACGUGCUACAAUGGCGCAUACAAAGAGAAGCGACCUCGCGAGAGCAAGCGGACCUCAUAAAGUGCGUCGUAGUCCGGAUUGGAGUCUGCAACUCGACUCCAUGAAGUCGGAAUCGCUAGUAAUCGUAGAUCAGAAUGCUACGGUGAAUACGUUCCCGGGCCUUGUACACACCGCCCGUCACACCAUGGGAGUGGGUUGCAAAAGAAGUAGGUAGCUUAACCUUCGGGAGGGCGCUUACCACUUUGUGAUUCAUGACUGGGGUGAAGUCGUAACAAGGUAACCAAGGGCGAAUUCUG
RNAcentral lists this ribosomal RNA (711 nucleotides) under uncultured Serratia sp. RNAcentral's name for it is "bacterial SSU rRNA". It matches the Rfam family "Bacterial small subunit ribosomal RNA", at positions 803 to 1515 of the family's 1533-position model. Lineage: Bacteria; Pseudomonadati; Pseudomonadota; Gammaproteobacteria; Enterobacterales; Yersiniaceae. The record is from RNAcentral.